Molecule: non-coding RNA, 65 nt
Organism: Podarcis lilfordi (Lilford's wall lizard)
Lineage: Eukaryota; Metazoa; Chordata; Lepidosauria; Squamata; Lacertidae
Source: the annotation of a GenBank genome assembly
GUAGUAGUUCAGUGGUAGAGAAUCUGCCUUUCAUGCAGAAGGUUCUGGGUUCCCCGGGUAGAACU